GUGGGGAAUCUUGCGCAAUGGGCGAAAGCCUGACGCAGCCAUGCCGCGUGAAUGAUGAAGGUCUUAGGAUUGUAAAAUUCUUUCACCGGGGACGAUAAUGACGGUACCCGGAGAAGAAGCUCCGGCUAACUUCGUGCCAGCAGCCGCGGUAAUACGAAGGGGGCUAGCGUUGCUCGGAAUUACUGGGCGUAAAGGGCGCGUAGGCGGACAGCUUAGUCAGAGGUGAAAGCCCAGGGCUCAACCUUGGAAUUGCCUUUGAUACUGGCUGUCUUGAGUUUGGGAGAGGUGAGUGGAACUCCGAGUGUAGAGGUGAAAUUCGUAGAUAUUCGGAAGAACACCAGUGGCGAAGGCGGCUUUCUGGACUGUAACUGACACUGAGGCACGAAAGCGUGGGGAGCAAACAGGAUUAGAUACCCGUGUAGUCC
This 425-nucleotide ribosomal RNA is filed under the name uncultured bacterium. RNAcentral describes it as "partial 16S ribosomal RNA". It matches the Rfam family "Bacterial small subunit ribosomal RNA", at positions 354 to 796 of the family's 1533-position model. The record is from RNAcentral.